Molecule: ribosomal RNA, 429 nt
Filed under: bacterium
Lineage: Bacteria
Description: partial 16S ribosomal RNA
Rfam family: Bacterial small subunit ribosomal RNA
Source: RNAcentral
UAGGGAAUCUUCCACAAUGGACGCAAGUCUGAUGGAGCAACGCCGCGUGAGUGAAGAAGGUUUUCGGAUCGUAAAGCUCUGUUGUUGGUGAAGAAGGAUAGAGGCAGUAACUGGUCUUUAUUUGACGGUAAUCAACCAGAAAGUCACGGCUAACUACGUGCCAGCAGCCGCGGUAAUACGUAGGUGGCAAGCGUUGUCCGGAUUUAUUGGGCGUAAAGCGAGCGCAGGCGGAAUGAUAAGUCUGAUGUGAAAGCCCACGGCUCAACCGUGGAACUGCAUCGGAAACUGUCAUUCUUGAGUGCAGAAGAGGAGAGUGGAAUUCCAUGUAUAGCGGUGGAAUGCGUAGAUAUAUGGAAGAACACCAGUGGCGAAGGCGGCUCUCUGGUCUGCAACUGACGCUGAGGCUCGAAAGCAUGGGUAGCGAACAGG